AAAAUUUUCCUGUAAUUCAUGUUUUGUUUAGUUUUAUACAUUUUAGGUUAUAAGGUCUUCUUACUUACGUUUGUAAGUUUCCUGCACGGCUAAUGGUUUGGUUCGAUUACGGACGAUGGCAAUUUAAGAGGAUAAUUUUCUGAUUUUUGAACAGCAAUUAUUAGCAUUUGAUUUUAAAUUGUGGUAUAACUUCAGCGUAAAUUACCUUAAGACUCAAAAAUAUGUGUU
Molecule: long non-coding RNA, 228 nt
Organism: Aedes aegypti (yellow fever mosquito)
Lineage: Eukaryota; Metazoa; Arthropoda; Insecta; Diptera; Culicidae
Exons: 2
Source: RefSeq, a predicted model, not a curated record